Long non-coding RNA from Bradysia coprophila, 211 nucleotides. Lineage: Eukaryota; Metazoa; Arthropoda; Insecta; Diptera; Sciaridae. The record is from RefSeq and is a predicted model, not a curated record.
GAACUCACAAUUCUCUUAUUCUAUUUCUGACUUCUCAGCCAUUUCGAUUCGAUUUAUAGUUUUUUUUUUCAAUUUCCCGGUAAGUUUGAUUUCUCGUCUAUUUCGAUUUCACGUUUUUAUAGACUUGCUGUUUUUUUUUGAUUUCCCGAUGAACUCGAUUUCCCGAUGAACUCGAUUUCCCGUCUAUUUCAAUUUCGCUGUGAACGGUCUG